GAUGAAGAACGUAGCGAAAUGCGAUACGUAAUGUGAAUUGCAGAAUUCAGUGAAUCAUCGAAUCUUUGAACGCAUAUUGCGCUCUCUGGUAUUCCGGAGAGCAUGCUUGUUUGAGUAUCAGUAAACACCUCAACUUCCAUAUCUUUUUUGAAAUGGGAGUUGGACUUGAGUGAUCCCAACGCUUUUCCUCACCGAAAAGUGGCGGGUUACUUGAAAUGCAGGUGCAGCUGGACUUUUCUCUGAGCUAUAAGCAUAUCUAUUUAGUCUGCCUAAAAAAACAGAUUAUUACCUUUGCUGAAGCUAACAUAAAGGAGAUUAGUUCUUGUGCUGACUGAUGCAGGAUUCACAAAGACAGGCUUCGGCCGACUUUGUAAACUCGAUCUCAAAUCAAGUAAGACUACCCGCUGAACUUAAGCAUAUCAAUAAGCGGAGGA
This 434-nucleotide unclassified non-coding RNA is filed under the name soil metagenome. Its description in RNAcentral is "partial contains 5.8S ribosomal RNA, internal transcribed spacer 2, and large subunit ribosomal RNA". The stretch from base 1 to 120 matches the Rfam family "5.8S ribosomal RNA", at positions 35 to 154 of the family's 154-position model. The record is from RNAcentral.